RNAcentral lists this ribosomal RNA (238 nucleotides) under uncultured bacterium. RNAcentral's name for it is "partial 16S ribosomal RNA". It matches the Rfam family "Bacterial small subunit ribosomal RNA", at positions 99 to 334 of the family's 1533-position model. The record is from RNAcentral.
CGCACGGGUGAGUAACACGUAUGCAAUCCACCUGUAACAGGGGGAUAACCCGGAGAAAUCCGGACUAAUACCCCAUAAUAUGGGCGCUCCGCAUGGAGAGCCCAUUAAAGAGAGCAAUUUUGGUUACAGACGAGCAUGCGCUCCAUUAGCCAGUUGGCGGGGUAACGGCCCACCAAAGCGACGAUGGAUAGGGGUUCUGAGAGGAAGGUCCCCCACAUUGGAACUGAGACACGGCCAA